Molecule: small nucleolar RNA, 193 nt
Filed under: Periophthalmus magnuspinnatus
Lineage: Eukaryota; Metazoa; Chordata; Actinopteri; Gobiiformes; Gobiidae
Description: Small nucleolar RNA SNORA53 (ENSPMGG00000007342.1)
Rfam family: Small nucleolar RNA SNORA53
About the family: The snoRNA ACA53 belongs to the H/ACA family of pseudouridylation guide snoRNAs.
Source: RNAcentral
GACACCCUCCUUAGAUCCACCUCUGGAGGCUAUGGGCUUGGCCCACUCCUCAGCAGCCUGUGGCUGUACAGUCGGAGGUGCUUGAGUCAUUGGGGUGUCAGAGCAGUCCACCUGUCCCCCCAGGCCAGGGCCCCACUGGCCCCUGUCCCAGAGGCAGGACACACCAAUGGGGCCAGCCUGGGAGACGGACACU